GGACAGCCAAUAGCUACUUUCCUUACUAAGGAGUUUUGCAACACUGGCCAUAGACAGAUUACAUCUGAAAGUGCAAUGUAACAACCUGUACCAUUAUCAAUGUCAAUUGUUCUCUGUAUUCAUUGACUGCAGGUCCGUGUAUCUAUAAAGAGGUUCCGUUUCAGCCUGGACAGACCUUCUACAGGGGUUGUGACAAGUGCUACUGCCACGAAAAUGGCUACUUCUGCCUCUCGUGAGUAAACGGACCAGAUUAGUGACUGAUAUGAAAAUAUUAACCGUAUGCAACAGUGAAAUAUAGAAACCAAACAUGAAUUCAGUUUUUGCCAAUAUCACGUGUCUUUUUUUCGUUCGUAUCCCCAGACGGAUGAAACCUACCACUUGGCCCAACAACUGCCAGCGGAUUCCAACUGAGUGUGGCUACCGCGUGGUUUAUAAGGAGUUCCCGGAGGUGGAGUGUCAAGCCUACAGCUGGAUCUGGUGAAGGCAGACAGACAGACAGACACCUAUGCCCCCCUACAGUCAAAAUACACGAUAGCAAGACUGGCAGUGGACAACCCAUUGAAGGAACCAGUUACCAUGCAGAGAACAGACCACAACAAACCUUCAAUUUGGAACUUGUUCUUGCAAAGAAGGAACCAAUUCCCAAAUGUAAUGACUCAACAACAAAAGUUUCAUCCUUCGUUUUUAAUGAAUGUGUGUAGGGGGACAGAGAGUGAGUGUGUGUGUGCGUGCAUGUUGUAAUUGGCUUGGAUUCCAAUAAGGUGUUCUCAAACACAAGUACCAUAAAAAGUAGCAAGCAACUACAGUGUUCAGUCAGUCUCCUAUCAUCCCAAUAUGCUUACUCAGCUUCCUGCCCUCCUCGCCUUACUUUAGUGACCACUGAUCUAAUGCCUCGAUCACACCGCCAGUGUUAUUGCAUUUUGGUACACCAAAAGUACAUUCAUUUCCAAUGGAAUGCUGCGUUUGUCAACGGCUUGACAGAAAUGGUUGCAGAAGGUGAAUGUUGAACUUUUGUUGCACACAUAUCCAGAUGACGCAGCAUACCAUUUUGCGCAAUGAUGCUGUAGGUGUGAUUGAGGUGUAAGGCCUUGAUCACACUGAUAGCGCUGUAGGUGUGAUUGAGGUGUAAGGCCUUGAUCACACUGAUAGCGCUGUAGGUGUGAUUGAGGUGUAAGGCCUUGAUCACACUGAUAGCGCUGUAGGUGUGAUUGAGGUGUAAGGCCUUGAUCACACUGAUAGCGCUGUAGGUGUGAUUGAGGUGUAAGGCCUUGAUCACACUGAUAGCGCUGUAGGUGUGAUUGAGGUGUAAGGCCUUGAUCACACUGAUAGCGAAAAAUAGUAAGCAGCAUCCUCUGGAUAUGUGUGCAACAAAAGUUCAACAUUCACCUUCUGCUACCAUUUCGGUCAAGCCGUCUACGCAUUGUUUGACGCAUACGUUCGAUAAACAGAACACACGGCAACUGCCUCUGCGACGCAAUGCUGCAAGGCAAACGCAGCAUUCCAUUGGAAAUGAAUGUACUUCUGGUGUACCAAAAUGCAAUGCCGCUGUCGGUGUGAUCGAGGCGUAAGCGACCAACUGAGUAGUUUGGUGAACCACCCAACUGCAUUGCCCUUCUAAGAGGACUCCGACCAUGUAUGUCAAAAUUGUAUCACCUGUUGUUUACGAAGCAUGUGACAAAUAAAAAAAUUAUUUGACCUCGUGACAAGCCGCAAGACAAAUGGCGUGAUGCUAUAGAUGUCGACGCUAUUACCGCCACUGCCCGAGUGUGGCCCUCAUAUCUCAACCAGAUACCCUUCAUUACCGUGCAGUGUUACAAAGGUCUAUAGCUGUAUCCUCGUGAUAUUUUCCUAUCGGUUCCUUUGUAGGUGUUCAGUCUUCUGUAUGUCACAGACUGCUAGGUUUUCAAUGUGUCAACUUCACAAACCUAGGCUGGAUUUACAAUCCACUAUGCAUGCUCCAUAGAGGCUCUGCAACCACUUUGCGACUUUACCGCACUGAGAUUUGAACGGUGCGUGGCAGAAUGUGUAACGUUACGCAAGCGUCAGUGACGAAUUGCUCAGCAGAAAGCUUGUCCAUGGAGUUUAAACUCAGCCUUACUCACAGGGUGACUCCCUAGCCUUACUCGUCGACUGGUUUGUCAGGCUAAGGAGAUAUUUCACCAUUCACUUCACUGUGUGUACAGUAUAUAAUCAAUUCUUUCAAAUAAAACAUGGCAGUGUUACAUACUAUGUAAAGAAAUGUUCACUAUUUCUUGAACAGAUUUUUGAGAACGGGUAUAUACACCAUAGUGCAUGAAAUAUCAAAAGGGCAAUUUUUCAAAAUACAUUAUCAUCAGUAUUUUAUUAUCAAAAUGCAUUACAUCUCUUCUGCUUUAUCUUUUGGAUGGGGGAGUCCAAAUAGUCACCACUAUGCUGUGUAAAAAAUAAAACAAAAUGAGUUAAACGUAAUUUCCCCCCCAAAAAAAUGCAGUGUCCAGUUUCUCCGGUAGUGGAAAGUGAAGACUUUCUGGACAGACCUAAUCAUCCCAAUCCACCUGUCAGUCGGUCAGACCCAGAAAAGAAAUAUCAUGCGGCAAAUUUAGUGUACUAUAUUUCUCUUUGUACAGUUUAACACAUUUUAUACAAGUACACAUGAUCAUACAUUGUAGUUUCAUUUUAGGGGGUAUUUCUUUCUUUACUUAAGGUGCUGGUAGUUUUGGGUGACAUUUCUCAGAAGUCUUCUGUCAAACAUUCAUGUAACAAGUGAGUACCCUUAUGUCUGUGGAUGAGGCAAUAAGAGGAAAGGUCAAGUGUCCGGUCAAGCUGGCCAGUCCCUCUGUCAGAAGCCCCAGUGUGGUUCCUGGGGCCCCAAAGACAUUUACUCCCAACCAAACUAGAAAUUCCAGUCCGAAUGAUUUCCAUCUUCCUGCGGUCUAGUCUGUCACUAGGAGACUACAACUCUGUGUGCAUCAGCAAUGUCAUUUAACGUUGAUUAAAAGUCCCACUGCUGUGGUCAUGGCACAUGACUUGAUAAACUUUGUGUUGUGAUUUUCAUAUUUUUGUUUUAUAUUCAGUUGGUGAGGACCCUACUAAAAUGGGGGUACAGCAUUCUGUGGAAAGUGAGACUUCUUGAAGCAGCAACAAAUAAGGAGAACACAGCAGCCUUUUCUUUUUAUAUUGUUCAAACCAUCCUCCUGUUUUCUUAGGUGGCAUAUGGAAUGCAAGGAAUGGUCAGAAGGAGAGAAAAAAUAUAUUCUCUAUAUACAUUUUAAUAAAAAGAAUCCGACAGGAUUCAAAAGACGACAAACCCAACAACGGAGUAAAGAAAACAAAUCCUCUUCUGCUUCUUCCUUCUCACUCUGUCCCUGCAUUCCAGCACAAUACAAGGGUUUUAACGAU
This is a long non-coding RNA of Coregonus clupeaformis (lake whitefish), 3378 nucleotides long. RefSeq lists it as uncharacterized. The transcript has 2 exons. NCBI's taxonomy places the organism in Eukaryota, Metazoa, Chordata, Actinopteri, Salmoniformes, Salmonidae. The record is from RefSeq and is a predicted model, not a curated record.